GCCGGGCAUGGUGGUACAUGCCUGUAGUCCCAGCUAUUCAGGAGGCUGAGAUAGGAGGAUCGCUUGAGCCCAGGAGGUUGAGGCUGCAGUGAGUCAUAAUUGUGCCACUGCACUCCAUCCUGGGCAACAGAGUGAGACCCUAUCUCAA
This 148-nucleotide signal recognition particle RNA is filed under the name Nomascus leucogenys (northern white-cheeked gibbon). RNAcentral describes it as "Metazoan signal recognition particle RNA". It matches the Rfam family "Metazoan signal recognition particle RNA". From Rfam's summary of the family: The signal recognition particle (SRP) is a universally conserved ribonucleoprotein. It is involved in the co-translational targeting of proteins to membranes. Lineage: Eukaryota; Metazoa; Chordata; Mammalia; Primates; Hylobatidae. The record is from Rfam by way of RNAcentral.